RNAcentral lists this ribosomal RNA (253 nucleotides) under uncultured bacterium. RNAcentral's name for it is "partial 16S ribosomal RNA". It matches the Rfam family "Bacterial small subunit ribosomal RNA", at positions 524 to 776 of the family's 1533-position model. The record is from RNAcentral.
UACGUAGGGUGCAAGCGUUAAUCGGAAUUACUGGGCGUAAAGCGUGCGCAGGCGGCUUUGCAAGACAGAUGCGAAAUCCCCGGGCUCAACCUGGGAACUGCAUUUGUGACUGCAAGGCUAGAGUACGGUAGAGGGGGAUGGAAUUCCGCGUGUAGCAGUGAAAUGCGUAGAGAUGCGGCGGAACACCGAUGGCGAAGGCCGCCCCCUGGGCUGAGAUUGACGCUCAGGCACGAAAGCGUGGGGAGCAAACAGG